RNAcentral lists this ribosomal RNA (801 nucleotides) under uncultured bacterium. RNAcentral describes it as "bacterial SSU rRNA". It matches the Rfam family "Bacterial small subunit ribosomal RNA", at positions 8 to 798 of the family's 1533-position model. The record is from RNAcentral.
AGAGUUUGAUCAUGGCUCAGAUUGAACGCUGGCGGCAGGCCUAACACAUGCAAGUCGAGCGGUAGCACAGGAGAGCUUGCUCUCUGGGUGACGAGCGGCGGACGGGUGAGUAAUGUCUGGGAAACUGCCUGAUGGAGGGGGAUAACUACUGGAAACGGUAGCUAAUACCGCAUAACGUCUUCGGACCAAAGUGGGGGACCUUCGGGCCUCACGCCAUCAGAUGUGCCCAGAUGGGAUUAGCUAGUAGGUGGGGUAAUGGCUCACCUAGGCGACGAUCCCUAGCUGGUCUGAGAGGAUGACCAGCCACACUGGAACUGAGACACGGUCCAGACUCCUACGGGAGGCAGCAGUGGGGAAUAUUGCACAAUGGGCGCAAGCCUGAUGCAGCCAUGCCGCGUGUGUGAAGAAGGCCUUCGGGUUGUAAAGCACUUUCAGCGAGGAGGAAGGGUAGUGUGUUAAUAGCACAUUGCAUUGACGUUACUCGCAGAAGAAGCACCGGCUAACUCCGUGCCAGCAGCCGCGGUAAUACGGAGGGUGCAAGCGUUAAUCGGAAUUACUGGGCGUAAAGCGCACGCAGGCGGUUUGUUAAGUCAGAUGUGAAAUCCCCGCGCUUAACGUGGGAACUGCAUUUGAAACUGGCAAGCUAGAGUCUUGUAGAGGGGGGUAGAAUUCCAGUUGUAGCGGUGAAAUGCGUAGAGAUCUGGAGGAAUACCGGUGGCGAAGGCGGCCCCCUGGACAAAGACUGACGCUCAGGUGCGAAAGCGUGGGGAGCAAACAGGAUUAGAUACCCCGGUAGUCCAA